AAUGGCCCAUCGGACGAGUUGUAGAAGUUCUUCCAGGAAGGGAUGGGCAGAUUCGUUUAGCCAAAGUGGAGACUAUCAAAAGAUGCUUGCUCCGUCCACUACAACGAUUAUUUCCAUUAUGUGGACGUGAUCCUGACAGACUUUCAGAGUUGGACGCUGUUAAGCCUCGCGUUCAAACUGAGAUAGAAGUGAAUUCGCCUAUGACUUCGCGAAAUGAAGGCGAAAACCCACAGAAGUCGUGAACCUGAGAUUGAAGAUGUAGGUAUUGAAGUCGAAAAAACGACUCGAUGUGGACGUAUUAGUAAGAUUCCAAGUCGUUAUUUAGAAUAGAGUUUGUUCUAUAGUUAGUUUCAUGUACUUCCGAUAUUAGCUCUGUUUAGCAUUACAAAGUUAAUUUUUUCAGUUUUAAGAAACAUUUUUGUCAGCAAUGUUUCUUAGGUGGGAGAAUGUCAGAGAUGCGAGUAUAUGAAAUGGAUGAAUAGAGAGAGAAAAGAGAGCGAAUCGAAUACAACAAAACCUAAAAAUAAAAACCAGUAAGAUUUUGACAUUGUCAGAAAAAAGUUUUAUGUACAGACAUCUCGGCAGUUUUAUUUAACGAACCCAUCGACGGCCCUUUGAAACGGGUAGUUUCUUUUGGUGCACGACACUACAGUUGUUGAACAUGUCCAAAUAGCGGACUGCAGGAGCGAAACUUUGUAGAUGUUGGUGUAAUAAUAUGUGGAUACUUAGUGAACAAAUUAACUGAUUAGCACCGACAACCUUUGAUGGUAGGCCUGGGUAACACUGUGUUGAGUUGCUCCUUCGAGUUGAUGCCGCUUUGUGAGUUGGUGAGUUAUAACUCAUAUCGCCUCAUGGAGCCGCACCUCAAAUUGAACCUGUGGCGGAAUAAUUCUUGUAAUCAGAACUUUUAGAAAUUAUAUUAGUUGAAAUUCC
Long non-coding RNA from Dendroctonus ponderosae (mountain pine beetle), 933 nucleotides. RefSeq lists it as uncharacterized. The transcript is spliced from 3 exons. The record is from RefSeq and is a predicted model, not a curated record. NCBI's taxonomy places the organism in Eukaryota, Metazoa, Arthropoda, Insecta, Coleoptera, Curculionidae.